GAGGGAGAAGAAGAAUAGUGUCCCAAGGGAAGCCCCCCACCCUCCACAUCCCUCUCUUUCUGUCUGAGGUGAUUUUCUCCCCCUUCCCUCAUUGUCCUGGCCAUUAGGAAUGGAGCCAGCCACUCUGCUGAAGGGGAACUGAAUAGGAUGAUUAUACGAGGCUGAAGAUGAAGUUUGUCUUAUGUGGCUAGAGCCAACAUCUAAUCAAAUGUUGUGAUUUGCAGCAGAGUCAGUCAAGGACAAAUUGGAUUAAACAGUUAUGUCAGAUCAAGGGAGGAGCACCAUCGGCAUCAAACAACAGGCUGUUAGAAAGGAAGCAAUGCAACAGCAUCAAGCUUGGCAAGUGGAACCUCCAGGAAACCAAAGCAUUUUGUGCUUUAUAGAUCGACACCACAUCGACCCUUCUGAGGUUUCCUUUUCAUUUUGCAAGAACGAACGCGGAGAGAUUUAUACCUGGGAAUAUCACUUGACACAAAAAUGGAUAGUGGAUAUAAUUAUAUAUAAAAGCUCCCCUGUUACAGAAAAAAAUAAGGUCUUUAAUAACCUAGUUUGUGGGCUAUAGAAGGAAAACAAAGGCAGUAUACUCAUAAGCCAGACAGAGGAGAUGCUUUCUACUAUUGCUAUUGAUUAGUAACUAAGGCAAUGCUCUGAAAAGGUCUGAUAUAAAUGUAAUACAGGGAGUAACUGAAUGAGCUCAUCACAGGAUGCAUGAUCUA
RNAcentral lists this long non-coding RNA (716 nucleotides) under Numida meleagris (helmeted guineafowl). Its description in RNAcentral is "lncRNA (ENSNMEG00000001458.1)". Lineage: Eukaryota; Metazoa; Chordata; Aves; Galliformes; Numididae. The record is from RNAcentral.